CCUACGGGAGGCAGCAGUGGGGAAUAUUGCACAAUGGGGGAAACCCUGAUGCAGCGACGCCGCGUGAGUGAAGAAGUAUUUCGGUAUGUAAAGCUCUAUCAGCAGGGAAGAACCCCACCCUCCGGGGUGGCUGACGGUACCUGACUAAGAAGCCCCGGCUAACUACGUGCCAGUAGCCGCGGUAAUACGUAGGGGGCAAGCGUUAUCCGGAUUUACUGGGUGUAAAGGGAUAGUAGGAGGCAAGGCAAGUAAGAUGUGAAAACCCGGGGCCCAACCCCGGGAGUGCAUUUGAAACUGUCUGGCUAGAGUGCAGGAGAGGUAAGUGGAAUGCCUAGGGUAGCGGGGAAAUGCAUAGAUAUUAGGAGGAACACCAGUGGCGAAGGCGGCUUACUGGACUGUAACUGACACUGAGGAUCGAAAGCGUGGGGAGCAAACAGGAUUAGAUACCCCAGUAGUC
Molecule: ribosomal RNA, 457 nt
Filed under: uncultured bacterium
Lineage: Bacteria
Description: partial 16S ribosomal RNA
Rfam family: Bacterial small subunit ribosomal RNA
Source: RNAcentral